CCCGCCUGUGGAGUACGGUCGCAAGACUAAAACAUAAAGGAAUUGACGGGGACCCGCACAAGCGGUGGAGCGUGUUGUUUAAUUCGAUGGUAAGCGAAGAACCUUACCCAGACUUGACAUCCUUGGAAGCACUGCGAAAGCAGAGUGUGCCUCCGGGAACCAAGUGACAGGUGUUGCAUGGCCGUCGUCAGCUCGUGUCGUGAGAUGUUUGGUUAAGUCCAUCAACGAGCGCAACCCUUGUGGCUAGUUGAAUUUUUCUAGUCAGACUGCCCUGGUAACAGGGAGGAAGGAGGGGAUGAUGUCAGGUCAGUAUUACCCUUACGUCUGGGGCUACAAACACGCUACAAUGGCCGGUACAAAGGGCUGCCAAGUCGCGAGACGGAGCAAAUCCCAUCAAAACCGGUCCCAGUUCGGAUUGCAGGCUGAAACUCGCCUGCAUGAAGUCGGAAUCGCUAGUAACGGUAGGUCAGCACACUACCGUGAAUACGUUCCCGGGUCUUGUACACACCGCCCGUCAAACCAUGAAAGUCGCCAAUACCUGACGUCUUAGCUAGUCUAGGCCUAAGGUAGGGGAGAUGAUUGGGGUUAAGUCGUAACAAGGUAACAAUCGAAUUUCCCGCGGCCGCCAUGGCGUGCAGGAGCACAACUGUCGGCCUGUA
This 659-nucleotide ribosomal RNA is filed under the name uncultured Candidatus Saccharibacteria bacterium. RNAcentral's name for it is "bacterial SSU rRNA". It matches the Rfam family "Bacterial small subunit ribosomal RNA", at positions 868 to 1533 of the family's 1533-position model. The record is from RNAcentral. Lineage: Bacteria; Candidatus Saccharimonadota.